This 348-nucleotide unclassified non-coding RNA is filed under the name soil metagenome. RNAcentral's name for it is "partial contains 5.8S ribosomal RNA, internal transcribed spacer 2, and large subunit ribosomal RNA". The stretch from base 1 to 120 matches the Rfam family "5.8S ribosomal RNA", at positions 35 to 154 of the family's 154-position model. The record is from RNAcentral.
GAUGAAGAACGCAGCGAAAUGCGAUAAGUAAUGUGAAUUGCAGAAUUCAGUGAAUCAUCGAAUCUUUGAACGCACAUUGCGCCCGCCAGUAUUCUGGCGGGCAUGCCUGUCUGAGCGUCAUUUCAACCCUCAUGCCCCUAGGGCGUGGUGUUGGGGAUCGGCCAAAGCCCGCUAGGGACGGCCGGCCCCUAAAUCUAGUGGCGGACCCGUCGUGGCCUCCUCUGCGAAGUAGUGAUAUUCCGCAUCGGAGAGCGAUGAGCCCCUGCCGUUAAACCCCCAACUUUCCAAGGUUGACCUCAGAUCAGGUAGGAAUACCCGCUGAACUUAAGCAUAUCAAUAAGCGGAGGA